GCCAACUUGCGAAAGUGAGCGAAUCCCAAAAAGUGCGUCGUAGUCCGGAUUGGAGUCUGCAACUCGACUCCAUGAAGUCGGAAUCGCUAGUAAUCGUGGAUCAGAAUGCCACGGUGAAUACGUUCCCGGGCCUUGUACACACCGCCCGUCACACCAUGGGAGUGGGCUGCAAAAGAAGUAGGUAGUUUAACCUUCGGGGGGACGCUUACCACUUUGUGGUUCAUGACUGGGGUGAAGUCGUAACAAGGUAGCGCUAGGGGAACCUGGCGCUGGAUCACCUCCUUA
RNAcentral lists this ribosomal RNA (285 nucleotides) under Vibrio alginolyticus. RNAcentral's name for it is "partial 16S ribosomal RNA". It matches the Rfam family "Bacterial small subunit ribosomal RNA", at positions 1249 to 1533 of the family's 1533-position model. Lineage: Bacteria; Pseudomonadati; Pseudomonadota; Gammaproteobacteria; Vibrionales; Vibrionaceae. RNAcentral also lists the same sequence under 3 other names. The record is from RNAcentral.